Molecule: ribosomal RNA, 372 nt
Filed under: uncultured bacterium
Lineage: Bacteria
Description: bacterial SSU rRNA
Rfam family: Bacterial small subunit ribosomal RNA
Source: RNAcentral
GGAGGAUCCGAGCGUUAUCCGGAUUUAUUGGGUUUAAAGGGAGCGUAGGUGGACUGGUAAGUCAGUUGUGAAAGUUUGCGGCUCAACCGUAAAAUUGCAGUUGAUACUGUCAGUCUUGAGUACAGUAGAGGUGGGCGGAAUUCGUGGUGUAGCGGUGAAAUGCUUAGAUAUCACGAAGAACUCCGAUUGCGAAGGCAGGUCUCUGGGCCGUUACUGACGCUGAGGAGCGAAAGCGUGGGGAGCGAACAGGAUUAGAUACCCUGGUAGUCCACGCCGUAAACGGUGGAUGCUGGAUGUGGGGCCCUUUCCACGGGUUCCGUGUCGGAGCUAACGCGUUAAGCAUCCCGCCUGGGGAGUACGGCCGCAAGGCUA